Molecule: non-coding RNA, 46 nt
Organism: Schistosoma haematobium
Lineage: Eukaryota; Metazoa; Platyhelminthes; Trematoda; Strigeidida; Schistosomatidae
Source: Rfam
AUCCAGCUGAUGAGUCUCAAAAUUGGACGAAACACCUAUCCUGGAU